UACGGAGGGGGCUAGCGUUGUUCGGAAUUACUGGGCGUAAAGCGUGCGCAGGCGGUCUGUUAAGACAGAUGUGAAAUCCCCGGGCUUAACCUGGGAACUGCAUUUGUGACUGGCAGGCUAGAGUAUGGCAGAGGGGGGUAGAAUUCCACGUGUAGCAGUGAAAUGCGUAGAGAUGUGGAGGAAUACCGAUGGCGAAGGCAAUCCCCUGGGCCUGCACUGACGCUCAUGCACGAAAGCGUGGGGAGCAAACAGG
Molecule: ribosomal RNA, 253 nt
Filed under: uncultured bacterium
Lineage: Bacteria
Description: partial 16S ribosomal RNA
Rfam family: Bacterial small subunit ribosomal RNA
Source: RNAcentral